UUUUUUUUUCGAAAUAGUUUUGAUUCCGCUGCGUAUUAUAAAUUUUGUUGAGAAAAUGCUGUUAAUCGCGAAAAUUGUCUAACAAACGAUGCCGUUUGAGUUGUUUCCAUCGAGUCGUACGGAUAGAGGGAAAAGAAAGCGGGAGCGGGGAGAACACGCCGAUUACGAUGCCGCCGCCGCUGCCGGGAACCAGAAGGAGACGGUGGCGGAGAGAGGAAAUGAGAGGGAGAUGACGUCGGAUGAAGAGGUGGAGGAGUUCUUCGCCAUUUUGAAGCGAUUACACGCGGCGACGAAAUACAUAGAGAAGAUCGAUGGUGCGAGAAGCUUGUUGAUGGGGAAAAGAGCGAAGACGGCGAAGGCGAGCGAGAAAGAAGGCGAUGGAGUUGAAAUUAGAACAAAGAGAAUUCCAGAUCAGAAAUUGGACAGAAAUUUGGAUCUGGAUCUGAACUUAGAACCUACUUGCGUUGAAUCGGACGGUAAGGAGAGGAGAAGCCGGAGCCACAAUCUGAAGUCGUUAACUGGCGAUUCGGCUGCCGAUUCUCGUCGGAAGUAGAGAUUUACGGCGGAGAUUACAGUUUGGCUGUCCCUGGAAGAACUCGAUCGCUCCGAUCAUGCGGACUGAUGAACUGAUAUUGGAGCCUUCUGGUUGCGGAUCCGGGAGAAGACGGUUGGUUUCAUUGAUUCCUAGUAGGAUUGGGACGAAAGAGAAUCGAAUCAAGGCUAGAUUGGGAUCACAUGGACCUCGAGAGGGCAAGACGUUUCAAGGUGGGUCGACCAAGCUUAGGUUCAAGCUGUUAGAUGAACACGACUCUCCACAAUGGUAUGAUAUUGUCCACUUUGAGCAUAAGCUCUCGUGACUUUGCUUUGGG
Non-coding RNA from Cucurbita pepo subsp. pepo (vegetable marrow), 869 nucleotides. The record is from RefSeq and is a predicted model, not a curated record. NCBI's taxonomy places the organism in Eukaryota, Viridiplantae, Streptophyta, Magnoliopsida, Cucurbitales, Cucurbitaceae.